Molecule: ribosomal RNA, 278 nt
Filed under: uncultured bacterium
Lineage: Bacteria
Description: partial 16S ribosomal RNA
Rfam family: Bacterial small subunit ribosomal RNA
Source: RNAcentral
UGCCAGCGCCGCGGUAAUACGGAGGGGGUUAGCGUUGUUCGGAAUUACUGGGCGUAAAGCGCGCGUAGGCGGUUCGGUAAGUAGGAUGUGAAAGCCCCGGGCUCAACCCGGGAAUUGCAUUUCAAACUGCCGGGCUAGAGUAUGGUAGAGGGAGGUAGAAUUUCCUGUGUAGCGGUGAAAUGCGUAGAUAUAGGAAGGAAUACCAGUGGCGAAGGCGGCCUCCUGGACCAAUACUGACGCUGAGGUGCGAAAGCGUGGGGAGCAAACAGGAUUAGAUA